GACGAACGCUGGCGGCGUGCCUAAUACAUGCCAGUCGAGCGAACAGACGAGGAGCUUGCUCCUCUGACGUUAGAGGCGGACGGGUGAGUAACACGUGGAUAACCUACCUAUAAGACUGGGAUAACUUCGGGAAACCGGAGCCAAUACCGGAUAAUAUAUUGAACCGCAUGGUUCAAUAGUGAAAGGCGGUCUUGCUGUCACUUAUAGAUGGAUCCGCGCCGCCUUAGCUAGUUGGUAUGGUAACGGCUUACCAACGCAGCGAUGCGUAGCCGACCUCAGGGGGUGAUCGGCGACACUGGAACUGGGACACGGUCCAGACUCCUACGGGAGGCAGCAGUAGGGAAUCUGCCGCAAUGGGCGAAAGCCUGACGGAGCAACGCCGCGUGAGUGAUGAAGGUCUUCGGAUCGUAAAACUCUGUUAUUAGGGAAGAACAAAUGUGUAAGUAGCUAUGCACGUCUUGACGGUACCUAAACAGAAAGCCACGGCUAACUACGUG
This 497-nucleotide ribosomal RNA is filed under the name uncultured bacterium. RNAcentral describes it as "partial 16S ribosomal RNA". It matches the Rfam family "Bacterial small subunit ribosomal RNA", at positions 28 to 507 of the family's 1533-position model. The record is from RNAcentral.